The sequence is a ribosomal RNA, 478 nucleotides long. The stretch from base 108 to 261 matches the Rfam family "5.8S ribosomal RNA".
GUACAGACUACCUCCUGCUGUGGGGAGCCGGCACGGNAGGUUCAACCCCGNAAACUCUUGCCAUUUUUUAUUGCCUUCCGUCUGAACUGUAGUACACGAAAAGUUAAAACUUUCAACAACGGAUCUCUUGGUUCUCGCAUCGAUGAAGAACGCAGCGAAAUGCGAUAAGUAGUGUGAAUUGCAGAAUUCCGUGAAUCAUCGAAUCUUUGAACGCACAUUGCGCCUCCUGGUAAUUGGGGAGGCAUGCCUGUCCGAGCGUCACUGAAAUCAACUCAAGCACUUUUGUGCGUGGUCGUGGAGGAAGAGUCAGCCUCGCCGCAGUCUCCCCUCUGAAAAUCAAUGGCGGAAAGUCACCGGUACUCUGCGUAGUAGUUACGUUCGCUGAGCUUCUAGUGUCGUUCCCGCCUUCAAACCCCCACAAUUCUCUCGAUUGACCUCGGAUCAGGUAGGGAUACCCGCUGAACUUAAGCAUAUCAAU